AUGCGCNCCUACCAUGCAAGUCGAACGGUAACAGGCUGUAUGGAAUCCCUUCGGGGUGAACUUGGCGCUGACGAGUGGCGAACGGGUGAGUAACACGUAGGAAUCUACCCAGGAGUGGGGGACAACCCGGAGAAAUCCGGGCUAAUACCGCAUACGCCCUACGGGGCAAAGUGGGGGACCUCUUCGGAGGCCUCACGCUUUUGGAUGAGCCUGCGUCGGAUUAGCUUGUUGGUGAGGUAACGGCUCACCAAGGCGACGAUCCGUAGCUGGUCUGAGAGGAUGACCAGUCACACUGGGACUGAGACACGGCCCAGACUCCUACGGGAGGCAGCAGUGGGGAAUAUUGGACAAUGGGGGCAACCCUGAUCCAGCCAUGCCGCGUGUGUGAAGAAGGCCCUAGGGUUGUAAAGCACUUUCAGUGGGGAAGAAAAGCCUAAGGAUAAUACCCUCGGGUCUUGACGGUACCUACAGAAGAAGCACCGGCUAAUUCCGUGCCAGCAGCCGCGGUAAUACGGAAGGUGCAAGCGUUAUCCGGAAUUAUUGGGCGUAAAGCGUCCGCAGGCGGUCUGUCAAGUCUGCUGUUAAAGCGUGGAGCUUAACUCCAUUUCGGCAGUGGAAACUGACAGACUAGAGUGUGGUAGGGGCAGAGGGAAUUCCCGGUGUAGCGGUGAAAUGCGUAGAUAUCGGGAAGAACACCAGUGGCGAAGGCGCUCUGCUGGGCCAUAACUGACGCUCAUGGACGAAAGCCAGGGGAGCGAAAGGGAUUAGAUACCCCUGUAGUCCUGGCCGUAAACGAUGAACACUAGGUGUCGGGGGAAUCGACCCCCUCGGUGUCGUANCCAACGCGUUA
Molecule: ribosomal RNA, 850 nt
Filed under: uncultured bacterium
Lineage: Bacteria
Description: bacterial SSU rRNA
Rfam family: Bacterial small subunit ribosomal RNA
Source: RNAcentral